CCUACGGGAGGCAGCAGUGGGGAAUUUUGGACAAUGGGCGCAAGCCUGAUCCAGCAAUGUCGCGUGCAGGAUGAAGGCCUUCGGGUUGUAAACUGCUUUUGUACGGAACGAAACGGUUCGCUUUAAUACAGUGGGCUAAUGACGGUACCGUAAGAAUAAGCACCGGCUAACUACGUGCCAGCAGCCGCGGUAAUACGUAGGGUGCGAGCGUUAAUCGGAAUUACUGGGCGUAAAGCGUGCGCAGGCGGUUUUGUAAGACAGAUGUGAAAUCCCCGGGCUCAACCUGGGACCUGCAUUUGUGACUGCAAGGCUAGAGUACGGUAGAGGGGGAUGGAAUUCCGCGUGUAGCAGUGAAAUGCGUAGAUAUGCGGAGGAACACCGAUGGCGAAGGCAAUCCCCUGGACCUGUACUGACGCUCAUGCACGAAAGCGUGGGGAGCAAACAGGAUUAGAUACCCUGGUAGUCCACGCCCUAAACGAUGUCAACUGGUUGUUGGGUCUUCACUGACUCAGUAACGAAGCUAACGCGUGAAGUUGACCGCCUGGGGAGUACGGCCGCAAGGUUGAAACUCGAAAGGAUUGACGG
This 585-nucleotide ribosomal RNA is filed under the name uncultured bacterium. Its description in RNAcentral is "bacterial SSU rRNA". It matches the Rfam family "Bacterial small subunit ribosomal RNA", at positions 338 to 916 of the family's 1533-position model. The record is from RNAcentral.